RNAcentral lists this non-coding RNA (24 nucleotides) under Mus musculus (house mouse). Lineage: Eukaryota; Metazoa; Chordata; Mammalia; Rodentia; Muridae. The record is from RNAcentral.
UCCCAUAGAGGCCUCAACUUUUCC